RNAcentral lists this ribosomal RNA (492 nucleotides) under uncultured bacterium. RNAcentral's name for it is "partial 16S ribosomal RNA". It matches the Rfam family "Bacterial small subunit ribosomal RNA", at positions 29 to 507 of the family's 1533-position model. The record is from RNAcentral.
AGUGAACGCUGGCGGUAGGCCUAACACAUGCAAGUCGAACGGCAGCACAGUAAGAGCUUGCUCUUACGGGUGGCGAGUGGCGGACGGGUGAGGAAUACAUCGGAAUCUACUUUUUCGUGGGGGAUAACGUAGGGAAACUUACGCUAAUACCGCAUAUGACCUACGGGUGAAAGCAGGGGAUCUUCGGACCUUGCGCGAUUGAAUGAGCCGAUGUCGGAUUAGCUAGUUGGCGGGGUAAAGGCCUACCAAGGCGACGAUCCGUAGCUGGUCUGAGAGGAUGAUCAGCCACACUGGAACUGAGACACGGUCCAGACUCCUACGAGAGGCAGCAGUGGGGAAUAUUGGACAAUGGGCGCAAGCCUGAUCCAGCCAUACCGCGUGGGUGAAGAAGGCCUUCGGGUUGUAAAGCCCUUUUGUUGGGAAAGAAAAGCAGCAGGUUAAUACCCCGCUGUUCUGACGGUACCCAAAGAAUAAGCACCGGCUAACUUCGUG